GGAACACGAUGCUGGAAUUACUGGGCGUAAGGGUCCGUAGGUGGCUUUGUAAGUUAGAUGUGAAAGCUUACUUGCUCAACCUUAAAAUUGCAUCUAAAACUGCGGAGCUAGAGCGCAGGAGAAGUUGGCGGAAUUCCCGGUGUA
RNAcentral lists this ribosomal RNA (144 nucleotides) under uncultured delta proteobacterium. Its description in RNAcentral is "partial 16S ribosomal RNA". It matches the Rfam family "Bacterial small subunit ribosomal RNA", at positions 547 to 677 of the family's 1533-position model. Lineage: Bacteria; Deltaproteobacteria. The record is from RNAcentral.